GAGGAACAGGAGGGGGGGGGAACAAAACAAAACAAAACACAACCCUUAAAUCACAGCUGGAUUAAUCCGACUUUGAAUUAUUUCUUUUACUUUUGCUAUUUCACCUGGGUGAGCUGUUACUGCAGCGAUUUGCCUGUUCUGGGAUGUGGAGGAUUUCUUUUUCUCUUCUUUUUCUGUUUUUUUUUUUUUUUCCUUCCCCCUCCCCCCCCCUUCUUCUUCCUCUUUAUUUUUAAACAUGUUCUCUCCCCCCUCCCUUUUUCUUUUCUAUUUUAUCUUUUUCUAUUUUUCUUUUUCAUUUAUGCUUUCCUCCUCUCCUCUCCUCUCCUCUCCUCUCCUCUCCCAAAUCCUUUUCCUUUUCACCCCUCCCUUUUCUUUUUCUUUCUCUCUCUCUCCUCUCCUCUCCUCUCCUCUCCACAUCCUUUUCCUUUUCACCCCUCCCUUUUCUUUUUCUUUCUCUCUCUCCCCUCUCCUUCCCCAAUUUCUUUAGCUUUCCCUCCCUUUUUAGAGACAAAACCAGACGAGUGCUGCUAUGCCUAUUUUUCCAGCCCAGCAGCUCUCGGUGCUGAGCAUCACUGGAGCCGCCCAAGCGGAGCCGAAGCGCUGCGGGAGAUCCCGGCGCACCGCUCCCCUCCCGACCCGACCCGGCCCGGCCCGGUGGCGCCGAUCGAGCCCCGUUUCGGCCCCGGCCCUUCUGGCAGUGAACUUGGUCUGAAGCGAGCUCUGCUGGCUGCUUGGGGACGUUACAGGCGAGAUGCUCUUUCCCAACCCUCCCGGCCGGCUCCUUUUUCCCCCCCUCUCCGUUCCCCAGAGCCCCGAUUUCCAACCCGAGCUCUCACGGAGCCUCCCUGCAUAAACACAUCUCCGAUUUGCCACCAAGCAAACGUCCCUUUCCAGAAUCCUAAUGCAGUAAUUUGUUUUGACUUGAAGGGUAUAUAUGUAUGUGUAUAUAUAUAUACAUACACACACAUGCACAUGUUAAAAAGAGAUAAAUCAAAGGGAAAAACCCCUCGAACUAGUCUUAUUCUUUCAACGCUCGCUGUCAAAAUAGUUUCUUUUGAAAGCUAUUUAGGGUAA
RNAcentral lists this long non-coding RNA (1074 nucleotides) under Chrysolophus pictus (golden pheasant). RNAcentral describes it as "lncRNA (ENSCPIG00010009228.1)". Lineage: Eukaryota; Metazoa; Chordata; Aves; Galliformes; Phasianidae. The record is from RNAcentral.